This 606-nucleotide unclassified non-coding RNA is filed under the name Sistotrema sp. 2742 CG-2012. Its description in RNAcentral is "sequence contains ITS1, 5.8S rRNA gene, ITS2". The stretch from base 232 to 385 matches the Rfam family "5.8S ribosomal RNA". The record is from RNAcentral. Lineage: Eukaryota; Fungi; Basidiomycota; Agaricomycetes; Cantharellales; Hydnaceae.
UAUCGAAUCAAUCCAGGGUUGAUGCUGGCAAUAAUUAUUAUUGUAAUGUGCUCACUCUUAAUUUUUUUAAAUACACAUUUGUGCACUCCCAACUCAAUUUUUCGAAGGCAAAUGGGGUUUUUAUGUAUAAUAUAAUGCGCGCGCCCUAUUACCCUUCGAAAAACUUGUAAACCCCUGUUUAUUUGAUGUAAAGAAUGUUUUUACAUAUGCCUUGUAGGCAAUGUUUGAUACAACUUUUAACAACGGAUCUCUUGGCUCUCGCAUCGAUGAAGAACGCAGCGAAAUGCGAUACGUAAUGUGAAUUGCAGAAUUCAGUGAAUCAUCGAAUCUUUGAACGCACCUUGCACUCUCUGGUAUUCCGGAGAGUACGCCUGUUCGAGUGUCAUAAUACUAUCAAGUGCCUAUGGGUUGAUCGCCAUAUGUGUUUGGAUUUGGACUCUGCUGUGUCAAUACGGCUGGUCUUAAAUGUAUCAAGCUUGGUCCUUUAUAAGGGGAAUUUUGGUUCUUACUCGGCGUGAUAAUUAUCUAACGUUGAGGACAGUCCCUGUGACUGGCCAGAGAGAGUCUCUUUUGGAUCGCUUCUAAAAAAAAUUCGUAAUUAUUCUG